UACGAAGGGGGCUAGCGUUGCUCGGAAUCACUGGGCGUAAAGGGUGCGUAGGCGGGGCUUUAAGUCAGGGGUGAAAUCCUGGAGCUCAACUCCAGAACUGCCUUUGAUACUGAAGAUCUUGAGUCCGGGAGAGGUGAGUGGAACUGCGAGUGUAGAGGUGAAAUUCGUAGAUAUUCGCAAGAACACCAGUGGCGAAGGCGGCUCGCUGGCCCGAUACUGACGCUGAGGCACGAAAGCGUGGGGAGCAAACAGG
RNAcentral lists this ribosomal RNA (253 nucleotides) under uncultured bacterium. RNAcentral's name for it is "partial 16S ribosomal RNA". It matches the Rfam family "Bacterial small subunit ribosomal RNA", at positions 524 to 776 of the family's 1533-position model. The record is from RNAcentral.